This 72-nucleotide small nucleolar RNA is filed under the name Castor canadensis (American beaver). RNAcentral's name for it is "Small nucleolar RNA SNORD113/SNORD114 family (ENSCCNG00000001551.1)". It matches the Rfam family "Small nucleolar RNA SNORD113/SNORD114 family". Rfam says of the family: The imprinted human domain at 14q32 contains two clusters of tandemly repeated small nucleolar RNAs named 14q(I) and 14q(II) snoRNAs. These two clusters are named SNORD113 and SNORD114 respectively in the HGNC approved gene symbol nomenclature. The record is from Rfam by way of RNAcentral. Lineage: Eukaryota; Metazoa; Chordata; Mammalia; Rodentia; Castoridae.
UGGAUCGAUGAUGACCACUGGUGGCGUCUGAGUCUUGUAUCGUGACUACAGCUCUGGAAGUCUGAGGUCCAC